RNAcentral lists this ribosomal RNA (204 nucleotides) under Triticum aestivum (bread wheat). RNAcentral describes it as "partial small subunit ribosomal RNA". The record is from RNAcentral. Lineage: Eukaryota; Viridiplantae; Streptophyta; Magnoliopsida; Poales; Poaceae.
AUGGCUGCGUCCCAUGCCCAGGUGUCGAGGCACGAGCGGCACUCGGAUGCAUUGACGUCGGCGCGGCAGUGCGCGAGACCGUACGCCUCGUCGGGCGCUGUGCCGGUGGUGUUCUCGGCCAACCCGGACGCGUCCGACGCAGCGGCGGGGAGGAACGAGAGGAAGGCGUCGAGGUUGGCCUGGAAGACGCCGCCGCGGGUGUAG